Molecule: long non-coding RNA, 1613 nt
Organism: Passer montanus (Eurasian tree sparrow)
Lineage: Eukaryota; Metazoa; Chordata; Aves; Passeriformes; Passeridae
Exons: 3
Source: RefSeq, a predicted model, not a curated record
GCUGGUGACACAAUGCUGGGUGACACUGCCUGUGUAGAGGAGGAUCAAAAUAUCAUGUGAAUGAGAUGAAUAACUAAGGAUUGAAGUAAAAAGAAAUGGAAGAAGUUUAAUAGCAAAAAGUUCAAGGUCAUGCAGUCACAACACAACAACAACUUCUGCCAAGGGCUGUCAGCCUGUAUUUUGGAAACAAUUGAAGAGAAGGAAAAGACUUGGGGCUACUCUCUAGCUAUUGGUAACAGACCUGUAAAUCUCCUCGCUGAGCAAUGCUGUGUGCCGCAGUAGCCUCAAGAGAAGAUUGGGGAAGCACUUGGAAGAGAUUUGUGCUGUGGGUGAGAGAAAAGCUACAUGAGGUGUAGGAUUGACCCUUGUUGAGGAUUCCAGAGGGAGCUUCGAAGUAACAGCUGAAAACUAAAGGUUACAAAACCUGUUAUGGAAAAAACCCACAUAAUUUGGGUGUUUGUUGUACCUUCUGAAGUGACUUGGGCAGAUCUUUAAAGGGAUUAACAUGCUGACAAUGUUAAGGGAUUUUCAUACCAAGGCAUUUUAAAAAUUCUUCCAAGUACUCCUCUGUAUCUUCAGCAAUGGAAACGGUAUCACGGAAACUCUUAAAGACACAAUUAGCUUGCACAGCAGGUAGGUGAGAUUCAUUCACUUCUGAAGGUGGACCCAAGUUUUCUAAUUCACACACUUUUGAAAUGUGAUUUAUUUUUUUCCUUCAACUGUCCCUUGUACUUAUCAUGGUCUAUGUAUAAACUUAAAAAUGAAAGAAUUUAUAGCACAGUUAUAGCACAAAUCCAACUUGUUUGAUUUCUAGCCUCUGUGUAAAAGCUGAAUAACAUUUCUAACAUUUGGAGGCUGGGAUAUAGGGAUCACAUUUUAUUUAUCUACCUGUGCCUUUUCAAAACCAGCUAUUCCGUUUUAUUGAAAUACAUAAUCUUAGCAUACCAGACAUCAGCGCUAUGGAAUGUCAUCUGUCCCCAUUUCUUUGUAUUAUAAAUCCUUGUACAUUGCAAAACCAGUUAGAUUAAAGAGCAGAAGCAGCAAAAGACAAUGAAGAAAUUGUAAAUUUGUAUCUCUAUGGUUCUCAUUUGUACCCUAUUUUGUUUAUAGUGGCAGAAAAACAUGGCUCUCAACUAUUUGCAAGAGCAUUUGGCAAUAAGUUCUGCGUCACUGAAAACUUGCUCCAUGUUGCUGCCAGCUGUGGGAUUAUGGUUUUGGGCUUUUUGUAUCAGUGCAAUUAUUUGUAUCAGUGUAACAAUUAACACCAGUUGUUGACACAAAUAUAAAAAAUAUUUAGAUCUGUAAGCCCCUUUAAAAUAUACAAAGGGACCAUAUACUUUCUUAUAUCAAAAGUUUGUCUACAUGGUACUUUGUAGGCAGGUAAGAACUCUUUUAUACAUUGUUCACUUUAUUCUUUCUCAAUUUUAUGUGGGAGAAAAAGAAACUUGAGUUGCAUAGUAUGAAGAAUCACCUUCCCACCUCUAGUCAAAAGCAGGUUGUAUAAAGUUGGUUUUGGUGUUUUCCUAACAAUAGCUACUGGACAGACUGGCUGAAACACUGGCAAAAUACUGCAUGCACAUGCUAGGAAUAAAUAAAUGUCAUGUCUUGUCUGC